CCUACGGGAGGCAGCACUGGGGGAUAUUGCACAAUGGGGGGAACCCUGAUGCAGCGACGCCGCGUGGGUGAAGGAGCGUUUCGGCGCGUAAAGCCCUAUCGGCAGGGAAGAAGAUGACGGUACCUGACCAAGAAGCCCCGGCUAACUCCGUGCCAGCAGCCGCGGUAAUACGGAGGGUGCGAGCGUUAAUCGGAAUUACUGGGCGUAAAGCGCUCGUAGGCGGUAUGUCAAGUCAAGGGUGAAAUCCCCGCGCUCAACGUGGGAACUGCCUUUGAAACUGGCAAACUGGAGGGGGUGAGAGGAUA
Molecule: ribosomal RNA, 305 nt
Filed under: uncultured bacterium
Lineage: Bacteria
Description: bacterial SSU rRNA
Rfam family: Bacterial small subunit ribosomal RNA
Source: RNAcentral